Molecule: small nuclear RNA, 104 nt
Organism: Chlorocebus sabaeus (green monkey)
Lineage: Eukaryota; Metazoa; Chordata; Mammalia; Primates; Cercopithecidae
Source: Ensembl
GUGCUCACUUCAGCAACACAUAUACUAAACUUGGAACGAUACAAAGAUUAGCAUGGCUCCUGCGCAAGGACAACAAACAAAUUCGUGAAGCAUUCCAUAUAAAA